GGGGGUGUAGCUCAGUGGUAGAGCGCUCGCUUAGCAUGCGGGAGGGCCCGGGAUUGAUGCCCGGCACUUCCA
Schistosoma mattheei is the source of this 72-nucleotide non-coding RNA. The record is from Rfam. Lineage: Eukaryota; Metazoa; Platyhelminthes; Trematoda; Strigeidida; Schistosomatidae.